UAGCACAGUUAGCCAUCGCUAGCUAGUUAGAUAUCGAUACCAGUUACUGUCCCUAUGUAAACAGUUGUAGCCGACAGCUAUCGUAAAAAAAAAAAAAUACCAUCAGCAUCACUGUUGGUUAACAAUCUAAACAUUGUAAGUAAUUUAAGCCUAAUGCUGUCAUAUCUACCUGCGUGAUGUGUUUGUUUCUUGUAGUUAUUUCCAACAGUAACAAUUGGCCUUCUAUGAAGCCAUUAUCUAUAAGUCUAACGUUAGAUAACUACCGACAGCAACAACGUUGCAGUUGUGGAAUGCACGCGUACCAAGUGAAACUGUUUCAUUUGUAAGUAUCAUACAACGGCUCUUUAUCCCUCUUCAACCCCUUCCAUUUGCAGAAAAUGUACAUGUUAAUUCAGUGGAUCGAGGACCCUCCUACAUGGGAUGUGCUACCACAAAAUAAAGUUGUUAACAGCUUAUGCGAAGUGGGCUACAUAUGUGAUGUACAGUAUCGGGAUGAGACCAGCCCCGCUAAGAUUAUCCAGAAAGGGAGUAGAACUAAAUUAAUGAAGGCCUUGGAAGCACUGGAGAGGGGGUGCAGAAAUGCAGCUACUGGCACAGAAGAACGUGGCCGUGGUCUCAGAGAGAAACGCCCCCCAGCUCAGUUUUCACCUGCCAGCAGUGAGGAAGAUGAGGUAAGUUAUGAGGCCAAUAGCCUCAUAAAUAUGACCUUAAUUGAUGGAUCUUCUGAUCUAACUUCUGAGGGCAAUGUUAAGUCUUUUUUUUUUGAAAAUGUUCAAUCUUUUAUUAUGCUGUAGGAGGACACAAAUCCAAAACUAAAGGGGAAAAUAAUUUAACAAAGGCUCUGUCUCUGCAGUUUUUAAAUGCAUAUGAAGAGAGUGAGCCGGGAUACUCCAGAGAUGUGAACCCAGCCGCCGAUAGCAGCAUAGCUAACCAGCUUAAUGAGAUGCGAUGUCUGCUUUUAGAGAUGCGGGAGAAAAUAAUCAACCUGGAGCGUACUGUGAGAGAUCAAAUUACUCAGCCAGCGUCAUCCACAUUAUCAAGAUCAUCACCCUUAUUACCAUCAUCAUCAUCCUCAUCACCACCCUCAAGAACAACAUCAUCAACAUCACCACCCUCAAGAACA
Molecule: long non-coding RNA, 1123 nt
Organism: Alosa alosa (allis shad)
Lineage: Eukaryota; Metazoa; Chordata; Actinopteri; Clupeiformes; Clupeidae
Exons: 5
Source: RefSeq, a predicted model, not a curated record